GAUGAAGAACGUAGCGAAAUGCGAUAAGUAGUGUGAAUUGCAGAAUUCAGUGAAUCAUCGAAUCUUUGAACGCACAUUGCGGCCAUAGGUAUUCCUUUGGCCAUGCCUGUUCGAGCGUCAUUUACACCCUCAAGCCUAGCUUGGUGUUGGGCGUCUGUCCCGCCGUUCUCGCGCGCGGACUCGCCUCAAAGUCAUUGGCGGCGGUCGUGCCGGCCCCCUCGCGCAGCACAUUUGCGCUUCUCGGAGGCCCGGCGGAUCCGCGCUCCAGCAAGACCUUUCACGACUUGACCUCGGAUCAGGUAGGGAUACCCGCUGAACUUAAGCAUAUCAAUAAGGGAGGA
Molecule: unclassified non-coding RNA, 341 nt
Filed under: soil metagenome
Description: partial contains 5.8S ribosomal RNA, internal transcribed spacer 2, and large subunit ribosomal RNA
Rfam family: 5.8S ribosomal RNA (bases 1-120)
Source: RNAcentral